CCUACGGGAGGCAGCAGUGAGGGAUAUUGCGCAAUGGGCGAAAGCCUGAUCUAGCAACGCCGCGUGGACGAUGAAGGCCUUCGGGUCGUAAAGUCCUUUUCUGUGGGAAGAUCGUGACGGUACCACAGGAAUAAGCAUCGGCUAACUACGUGCCAGCAGCCGCGGUAAUACGUAGGAUGCAAGCGUUGUCCGGAUUUAUUGGGCGUAAAGAGUGCGUAGGCGGCUUCUUAAGUGGGGCGUGAAAUCCCCCGGCUAAACCGGGGAGGGUCGUCCAAAACUGGGGGCUUGAGGGUAGAAGAAGAGAGCGGAAUUCCCGGUGUAGUGGUGAAAGGCGUAGAUAUCGGGAGGAACACCUGUGGCGAGGGCGGCUCUCUAGGCUAUUCCUGACGCUGAGGCACGAAAGCGUGGGGAGCGAACGGGAUUAGAUACCCCUGUAGU
RNAcentral lists this ribosomal RNA (438 nucleotides) under uncultured bacterium. RNAcentral describes it as "partial 16S ribosomal RNA". It matches the Rfam family "Bacterial small subunit ribosomal RNA", at positions 338 to 794 of the family's 1533-position model. The record is from RNAcentral.